UACGUAGGUGGCAAGCGUUGUUCGGAAUUAUUGGGCGUAAAGGGUGCGUAGGCGGUUUGGUAAGUCUUGUGUGAAAUCUACAGGCUCAACUUGUAGUCUGCACGAGAAACUGCCGGGCUUGAGUGUGGGAGAGGUGAGUGGAAUUCCUGGUGUAGCGGUGAAAUGCGUAGAUAUCAGGAGGAACACCUGUGGCGAAAGCGGCUCACUGGACCAUAACUGACGCUGAUGCACGAAAGCUAGGGGAGCAAACAGG
Molecule: ribosomal RNA, 253 nt
Filed under: uncultured bacterium
Lineage: Bacteria
Description: partial 16S ribosomal RNA
Rfam family: Bacterial small subunit ribosomal RNA
Source: RNAcentral